GUUAGGCAUUCCAUAAGCUGAAAGGUUGACGAGCUGAAAAUUUGGAGUCUGGUUUGUCACUUUUUGGAGAGCAAAAUAGAAACUACCCAGUACCAGUAUGCUAAAGCCAGUCACACUACUGUCUUCUCAGUGUAAGAAUUCUGUGACCAAGUUAUUAUGCAAAGGAUGCUUAAACCAGCUACAGAAAACACAGUCAAGGACCGCAUUCAACAUCUUCCAGAAAUGGGGUAAAAAGACAGAACCAGUUUCACCAAGUAAUUACUCAGUGGUCAAAGCAGGAAAGGUGAGUCCAAUUAGGACAGUCCCAGAAGAAAUAGAGAUGCCAGAUUAUGCACAUUCUGGCAUUCCAAUGAUGGCUCCGCAGAGAAAGGUUUUCCUAUUAGAUCGUGCUUCUAUUGAAUGUAUGAGAGAGGCCAGUAGAUUAGGUCGCAAACUUCUAGAUCUUACAGCAUCGUGUAUAGAGGUUGGAGUCACAACAGAUCAUUUAGAUGAAGUUCUUCACCAAGCCUGCAUAGAUAACAAAGCAUACCCUUCCACUCUCAACUACAACUCCUUUCCCAAGUCAUUAUGUACAUCAGUCAACAAUGUGAUGGUCCAUGGUAUACCUGACGAUAGACCUCUUGAAGAUGGCGAUAUUAUCACUGCAGACAUCACGGUAUACUUAAAUGGUUUCCAUGCCGAUCUAUCAGAAACGUACCAAGUAGGAAAUGUAGAUGAUGCUGGUAAACACCUCAUUGAAUAUGCUAAGAAAUGCAGAGAUGAAGCAAUCAAAGUAUGCGGACCAGAUGUUCCCAUCAGUGCUAUUGGAAAUACGAUAUCGAGGAUAGCAGCAGAAGGCAACUACUACGUAUGUCCAUCUUUUAUAGGCCAUGGAAUCAACACAUAUUUUCACUGUAAACCUGAUAUUUGGCACUAUGCAAAUUCCUAUCCCGAGAGAAUGGUAGCUGGUAUGACGUUUACAAUAGAACCUGUUAUCUUAGAGAGAGUAGAUAGGAUGGUUACAGGGAAUGAUAACUGGACAGUAUAUGCCCAAAAUCAUACAAGAUCAGCCCAGUUUGAACACACAGUCCUGAUAACAAAAUCAGGUUUUGAGGUCUUGACAGCUGGAAAAGAUGAGGACUUCACCAUCACAGCCAAAGAAGAGUCUGUAUCAAUGGCUGAGGAUCAAGCAAAAUCACUUCAGAAAGAUGAUUGGACGUUUGAUCAGAAAACGUGAUAUCAAUGGCAAACCUGGAAUAAUAUAGAGCUUACUUCUUGCGCAUGUAUCCCACAAACAGCGAUCGAGAGUGGUGCUGGAAAAGCGGUUUAUUCAGUCGAUGAAAGCUGUUUGAUGAAAGAGCACUUCUAUAUUUAUGGUUUGCUGUCUCAACUUCAACUUGCCUUUUCUUUCUAUCUUUAUUAGAUGUUAACCUACUGUCGCUCCUGUGGUCUUCGUUGUGAAAAUAUACCGCUAUGGUCGAAUCUGCCAGCAAAAGGGUAGCAUUUUUUCUCGUGCAUGUGACGUGCGUAUAAUAACAAGUGAGGAUUGACGAUUCAGUGAAAUCUGAGACCGAGCUGAUUUAUAAAAGCUUUCCAUAUCCCCGGGAAAGGAGCUAAUGCCAUUCAACUAGAUUGGCAGGAUACGGCAUCUACUGAAUGGCCAUGACAUUCACCAAGUAUAAUACCAGAUUCAGGAAAGGGGGAAUAGGUGUAUAAAGAAGAGGGCACUAAACAGUUUGCACACAAACUCUCAAUGUAAGGUUCGUACUGGUUUUUAUAUCUAUAAUAUUCAUGUAAGACCUUGCUGACGUCUAAGAUGGAAUGGAGGAAAAUUUGAUUUCAGCUUCAUGACAUACCUGGCAAAUUUUUCAUCCUUUCAAAGGAUGAUCAUCUCGAAUAUGUCGACCACUGACCCAUAUAUUCCUCUUGACUGCAGGGAGCAAAGUAAUCGCGACAUCGCAGACAUCGUAAUUGCCAUCUUAGACAUUCUUCUGUGUCUUUUAGCUGUCCUGUGUAACGGCACUGUGGUAUUUAUAUUGUACAGGAAACCCAAGCUAAGGAGUAAAUCAAACAGCCACCUCAUGAAUUUAGUCAUCGGAGAUUUCAUGUAUUGCCUUACCCUUCCGCUGACCGUGGCGAGCUGUCUACAGGGUGGUUGGACGUACGGAUUUGUUUUCUGUCAGAUUCAUGGCUUCUUCAUGCUCUGGGCCAUAAUAGGCAUUGAAUUCAUAUUUCCAAUCUUGGCAAUUUAUCGGCUAAUCGUCAUGUCAAGGUCGCAGAAUAGAUUUGCAGAGUUUUACAAGUCUCAGACCCUUGCAUUGUAUUUGGUAACCUGGAUCCUUGCUGGGCUCUGUGCUCUUCCGCCACUGGUAGGUUGGGGAAGUCUGACACCAUGCGAUGGGUUAAACAAAUGCUUUGUAAGGUUUAGUGACACGGAAUCUUACGUCAUAUUCCUAAUUAUUAUUACAACCGUCAUUCCACUCAUCACCAUGGCAUUUUGCUACACCAAAGUUAUUAUCACUGUUCGCCAAAGUUCCAAGCGAGUUCAGCAUACCACAAACAACAUAUUGUCAGCCUCUGUUGCUUCCUUAGCCGUGUGUGAUGACCAAAGUACCCUUCGUGUCCCUUCACCUGCGCCUCCUGUCUUGUACACAGACAGAGAUUUCUUGCCUUUGCCACCUCGGCAGAACUUACCCAAAUCAAACGUCAAUCAACGAAGAUCAAGUCUUGCUUCGGCAACGGGAGGCCGAUCACGGGACAAUGCUCGACGCUUCUCUCUUGCUUCUAUCGCCUCAUCCACCAUGUCCAGCGUCCGACCCAGCGAACAGCGCCUAGGUCGAUCCCUUGCACUGAUAAUAGCGUCUUAUCUUUUCUCCUGGGUACCCGUCAUUGUCUUCACAUUACAGGCAACCUUUAAACCAAACACACCACCCGACUUCUGUAUAAAAAUGAUCCAAAUGUUCCUAUAUCUACAUGUGGCAAUGAACCCUCUGGUGUAUGGUCUUCUAACUGAUCCACUGCGGAGCGUCCUCUCUGGAUAUUUUAGACGAGGACGCCUCGGAAGCUCUCAGGAGUCACAGCGUUGGGUACCACCAUCAGUAGCCCCAAGUACUCAUCAACCAAAGAAUUCUGAUAAAACAGCUACAAAUUCCGUGGCAUGGAAAGAAAACGAUGAGAACAUUUCGGCGCCGACCUACUCUGGACAUCCAGGGACGAAUCAAGGAAACACCGGAAAGACAGUCGUCAUCAGCCCUGUAUCAGUCUUGUCGACAUCUUCAAAUGUUGAGAGUAAUUUUGUUAGUGACAUUCCAGAUGGGAUGACGCCACAAACAGUUACAAGAUUGUCUGAAAACUGUGAACCACUAAGUGUUAGUGACUGUUGAUAUCUAAUUUUAGCGUUUAAAUGGAAACCAGUAACAUCGUUUUUACUUUAUUAUCAUAAGUACUUUCUUUGCAUCAUGGGAAAGGAGGACCCUUAUGAUAUUCAACUUAAAACAUGUAACGCUUGAUAUGUUCUCAUGAAUCCACUGACAUAAUUUUUUUUUUUUUUUUGGGGGGGGAAUUUAUUUAUAAGUUUCUAUUCUGAAAGAAAGGCUCUCUAGAUACAACGGUUAGUAUUGAUUCUAUUGACCAAAAUCCGAGGCAAAUUUCAUAUACACGCAACUUAGAAAACCUGAAAAAAUUAAGUUUAAGUUGGGGUUAUUCCAAAUAAAAGCGUAUGAUCGGAUUCGGAACGCCGAUAUAUAGUGGACAUAAAUUACCAUCGACAAUGAAACUGUAAUUAAGAUUAUAACAUAAUACCCCUGUAUGAAGAGUACUAUUACUUUAGUUACACGUACUUUGCCAAUGGUUUACGCCAGGUUUGCAACAUAGACAUUGUGAGUGUGCCCGUCUAAAUAACUGAAAUACAAGUAACAUUUUUUGUACCAAAAGAAUGUGGAUAUGGUUUACUCCCUUUUUAGUUAUUUUCAGCUUCUCAUGCAAUCAUGUCUCAGUUGCCCAUAGAGAUGAGAUUAGUCAAUCAGAAAUUAUUGAUGGAUAUGUGAUGAGAUUGAAUUUGUAAGAUUUAGCAUACAUAGAGAACCUGCCGAAUGAAACCGAAGAAGCAAGUCUUAACUGAGGACCAUUCAAUACCACAAAUUGACUGACCCGUAAACCGUAUUUUCGAGGACUUCCUCGCAAAUUUUCAAAUAAAUAUACACGCCAGAUUUGAAAGGAACGAGAUAUUCGGCGAAUAGUGACGGAACACUGAACUGGAUCUUUUAAGAAUUGAAGUUUAGAUAUUUUGUCCUUUAUCGACAAAGUUUAGGUGUAUUUUUAAAUGGUGCGCAUUUUGCGCUCUGCAAAGCGAACAUUGAAACUUGUCGUUUAGGGUUUUCCUUUACUUCUAGUAGAUGGAGAAGAUCAAACCGUUUCUGAUGAUUCUUAUGCAUUCCGUCACGAUUUCUUUGGCGUCAUUCUAGAGAAUUUAUAUCGCAUAAGGAUCUCAGCAAGCGAUUAUCUUUAUUUUUUGAUCUG
This 4497-nucleotide unclassified non-coding RNA is filed under the name Lytechinus variegatus (green sea urchin). RNAcentral's name for it is "methionine aminopeptidase 1D, mitochondrial-like, transcript variant X1". The record is from RNAcentral. Lineage: Eukaryota; Metazoa; Echinodermata; Echinoidea; Temnopleuroida; Toxopneustidae.